This 497-nucleotide ribosomal RNA is filed under the name uncultured bacterium. RNAcentral describes it as "bacterial SSU rRNA". It matches the Rfam family "Bacterial small subunit ribosomal RNA", at positions 30 to 520 of the family's 1533-position model. The record is from RNAcentral.
AUUGAACGCUGGCGGAAUGCUUUACACAUGCAAGUCGAACGGCAGCACGGGGGCAACCCUGGUGGCGAGUGGCGAACGGGUGAGUAAUACAUCGGAACGUGCCCAGUCGUGGGGGAUAACGUAGCGAAAGCUACGCUAAUACCGCAUACGAUCUACGGAUGAAAGCGGGGGAUCGCAAGACCUCGCGCGAUUGGAGCGGCCGAUGGCAGAUUAGGUAGUUGGUGGGGUAAAGGCUCACCAAGCCUUCGAUCUGUAGCUGGUCUGAGAGGACGACCAGCCACACUGGGACUGAGACACGGCCCAGACUCCUACGGGAGGCAGCAGUGGGGAAUUUUGGACAAUGGGCGAAAGCCUGAUCCAGCCAUUCCGCGUGCAGGAUGAAGGCCCUCGGGUUGUAAACUGCUUUUGUACGGAACGAAACGGCCUUUUCUAAUACAGAGGGCUAAUGACGGUACCGUAAGAAUAAGCACCGGCUAACUACGUGCCAGCAGCCGCGG